Pseudophryne corroboree (corroboree frog) is the source of this 189-nucleotide long non-coding RNA. RefSeq lists it as uncharacterized. The record is from RefSeq and is a predicted model, not a curated record. Lineage: Eukaryota; Metazoa; Chordata; Amphibia; Anura; Myobatrachidae. The transcript has 3 exons.
UAAUUAUUGACAGUGAGGAUGAAAAACCCUCUCCCCAACUUGGCCCUACACUGUCACAGGCGGUGGCGGAGGAGGAGGACCAGGACUCUACCUCUAUGUCCAUCACCUCACUGCACCCAUUAAGCCCUACACUGGAACAGGCCACGGAGGAGGAGGAGGAGGAUGAUGAUGAUGCUGCUGCAUUUAGUG